Bacillus atrophaeus 1942 is the source of this 87-nucleotide non-coding RNA. Lineage: Bacteria; Bacillati; Bacillota; Bacilli; Caryophanales; Bacillaceae. The record is from Rfam.
UCCUUAUCAAGAGAGGUGGAGGGACUGGCCCGAUGAUACCCGGCAACCGCUGUUUAACAGAAUGGUGCUAAAUCCUGAAGAUAAGGU